AACUAACGCUGGCGGCGUGCCUAAUACAUGCAAGUCGAACGAGGAAGUAUCUUCGGAUAUUGUACUAGUGGCGUACGGGUGAGUAACGCGUGGAUAAUCUUCCUCUAGGUGGGGAAUAACCAGUCGAAAGAUUGGCUAAUACCGCAUAAGACCACAGGAGCUUCGGCUCAAGGGGUUAAAGGCGUAAGCCGCCUGGAGAUGAGUCUGCGCCCGAUUAGCUAGUUGGUGAGGUAAUGGCUCACCAAGGCGACGAUCGGUAGCUGGUCUGAGAGGACGACCAGCCACACUGGGGCUGAGAAACGGCCCAGACUCCUACGGGAGGCAGCAGUAGGGAAUAUUGCACAAUGGAGGAAACUCUGAUGCAGCGACGCCGCGUGAGUGACGAAGGCCUUCGGGUUGUAAAGCUCUGUUCUCUGGGAAAAAGAAAGUGAUUGUACCAGAGAAGAAAGGACCGGCUAACUUCGUGCCAGCCGCCGCAGUAA
This 482-nucleotide ribosomal RNA is filed under the name uncultured bacterium. RNAcentral's name for it is "partial 16S ribosomal RNA". It matches the Rfam family "Bacterial small subunit ribosomal RNA", at positions 29 to 523 of the family's 1533-position model. The record is from RNAcentral.